RNAcentral lists this ribosomal RNA (433 nucleotides) under uncultured bacterium. RNAcentral describes it as "partial 16S ribosomal RNA". It matches the Rfam family "Bacterial small subunit ribosomal RNA", at positions 29 to 507 of the family's 1533-position model. The record is from RNAcentral.
AACGAACGCUGGCGGCAGGCCUAACACAUGCAAGUCGAGCGAGGACUUCGGUUCUAGCGGCGGACGGGUGAGUAACGCGUGGGAAUGUGCCCUUCUCUACGGAAUAGCCCUGGGAAACUGGGAGUAAUACCGUAUACGCCCUAUUGGGGAAAGAUUUAUCGGAGAAGGAUCAGCCCGCGUUGGAUUAGGUAGUUGGUGGGGUAAUGGCCUACCAAGCCGACGAUCCAUAGCUGGUUUGAGAGGAUGAUCAGCCACACUGGGACUGAGACACGGCCCAGACUCCUACGGGAGGCAGCAGUGGGGAAUCUUAGACAAUGGGGGCAACCCUGAUCUAGCCAUGCCGCGUGAGUGAUGAAGGCCUUAGGGUUGUAAAGCUCUUUCAGCUGGGAAGAUAAUGACGGUACCAACAGAAGAAGCCCCGGCUAACUCCGUG